AACGCGAAGAACCUUACCUGGGCUUGACAUGUAAUAGACAGUAGCAGAAAUGUUAUCUUCCCGCAAGGGACUGUUACACAGGUGCUGCAUGGCUGUCGUCAGCUCGUGCCGUGAGGUGUUGGGUUAAGUCCCGCAACGAGCGCAACCCUUGUCAUUAGUUGCCAGCGCGUAAAGGCGGGCACUCUAAUGAGACUGCCUAGGUUAACUAGGAGGAAGGUGAGGAUGACGUCAAGUCCGCAUGGCCUUUAUGCCCAGGGCUACACACGUGCUACAAUGGUCGGUACAGAAGGCAGCGAAACCGUGAGGUGGAGCAAAUCCUCAAAGCCGACCCCAGUUCAGAUUGUAGUCUGCAACUCGACUACAUGAAGAUGGAAUUGCUAGUAAUGGCGAGUCAGCAACAUCGCCGUGAAUACGUUCCCGGGCCUUGUACACACCGCGAGC
Molecule: ribosomal RNA, 441 nt
Filed under: uncultured bacterium
Lineage: Bacteria
Description: bacterial SSU rRNA
Rfam family: Bacterial small subunit ribosomal RNA
Source: RNAcentral